Molecule: ribosomal RNA, 252 nt
Filed under: uncultured bacterium
Lineage: Bacteria
Description: partial 16S ribosomal RNA
Rfam family: Bacterial small subunit ribosomal RNA
Source: RNAcentral
UACGUAGGUCCCGAGCGUUGUCCGGAUUUAUUGGGCGUAAAGCGAGCGCAGGUGGUUUAUUAAGUCUGGUGUAAAAGGCAGUGGCUCAACCAUUGUAUGCAUUGGAAACUGGUAGACUUGAGUGCAGGAGAGGAGAAUGGAAUUCCAUGUGUAGCGGUGAAAUGCGUAGAUAUAUGGAGGAACACCGGUGGCGGAAGCGGCUCUCUGGCCUGUAACUGACACUGAGGCUUGAAAGCGUGGGGAGCAAACAGG